GACGAACGCUGGCGGCGUGCUUAACACAUGCAAGUCGAACGGAAAGGCUCCAGCUUGCUGGAGUACUCGAGUGGCGAACGGGUGAGUAACACGUGGGUGAUCUGCCCUGCACUUCGGGAUAAGCCUGGGAAACUGGGUCUAAUACCGGAUAGGACCUCACGCUGGUUGGUGUGGUGGGAAGGUUUUUCGGGGGUGGGAUGGGCUCCGGGCCUAUCAGUUUGUUGGUGGGGUAAUGGCCUACCAAGACGUCUACGGGUAGGCGGCCUGGGAGGGUGGACGGGCCCAUUGGGACUGGGAUAAGGCCCAGAAUCCUAACGGAGGCAGCAGGGGGGAAUAUUGCACAAUGGGGGAAACGCUGAUGCCGGGAAGCCGCGUGGGGGAUGAAGGCCUUCGGGUUGUAAAAUCCUUUCGCUAGGGACGAAGCUUUUUGUGGCGGUACCUGGAGAAGAAGCACCGGCUAACUACGUG
RNAcentral lists this ribosomal RNA (468 nucleotides) under uncultured bacterium. RNAcentral's name for it is "partial 16S ribosomal RNA". It matches the Rfam family "Bacterial small subunit ribosomal RNA", at positions 28 to 507 of the family's 1533-position model. The record is from RNAcentral.